This 137-nucleotide unclassified non-coding RNA is filed under the name Ralstonia solanacearum. Its description in RNAcentral is "partial miscellaneous RNA". The record is from RNAcentral. Lineage: Bacteria; Pseudomonadati; Pseudomonadota; Betaproteobacteria; Burkholderiales; Burkholderiaceae.
UGCAAACGCAAGCAUCGAGUUUUCGGUGUUUGCGUUUGGCAUUGCCAAGACGAGUAAUAACUCGGCUGUUCUUUAACAAUAUGGAAUGUAGUAAAGGUGUCGCGGAGCAUUGAUGAGAUGCUCGCAAAAACGCGACA